AGUUGGCAUCAAAAGAGUCCAGAUUCCCCCAACCAAUGCGGUGGCGGGGACGUCACAUCAAUGACUACAAGAAAUGUGGGUCAGGGUGACCCUCCACCACAAACUAACAAAUUGGUCACAUAUUUUAGUGAAACUAAAAAAACAAAGAAAUAGUUGAUAAUUGUUAUUUGUUUUUCUACGCAAUUUACACGUCGUUCCCUCCAAGUAUGUUCAUUUUCCAAAUUAUAACUUUAAAGAAAUAUUUUUUGCAAUGUCGCCUUCUUUUCCAUUUUUCUCAACUUCGUCAUUAAGUGGUAUACAUCACUUGGCAAAUUAUUCAGAUCAAAUUAACCCAAACCCAAACAAGAUGAUCCAAAUACGUGUUCGACUCAUAUUGCAUCGAUACCUGAGUUAUUCUCCCAUUCAUCUUUGGCCCACCACCACGACCUCCCCUAAAUCAAAUACAACUCCUCUCUCCAGCUAACCUUCAAACCUUGACAUUAUUGACUUUUGUUGCCAAACCACCUCCAUCAACAAGGCACGUUGAAAAAAUUGCUAAAACCCCUAAAAAAAUGUGAGUUAUAUUUAGCUUAGGAACUACUAGAGACCUAUAUUUAAUUUGUUGUUCACAUACAAAUACACAUUCAUGAAUACUAUUUCAAAUUGAUAUUUGACCAUAAAAAGAGUUUGUAUGAGUUUAUUUGUUUAUUUAUGGUGGUUUAGAGUUUUUGUGUCGGAGUGAUACAUUGAAUUCUUAGUGGUAGUUGGAGGUACUAGGUGAGGAAUGGGCAAAGGGGGAGGGCCCUACUAGGGAUGGGAGUGUGUUUACGAUUUUGUUGGAGGUGUCAGGGUAAAGGAAAAGGGAGGGGAGGGGGAAGGACCAUCGAUUGCAAGAGUUGUUUUUUAGUGAUGCUUAGAGGUGGUGGAAGGGAAGAGAAUGGAGGGAGGUCUUCGGGAAAGAAGAGUGAUAAAAAUUGAAAAAAUAGGAGAGAGAUGAAGAAAGAGGAAAAAUCAAAAGUAAAAUUCGUUCAUGGAUUUGGUUUGAAUUAGAUGCAAGUGGAUUUGAAUUCAAUAGAUCCACGUAAUUAUAAGUGGGAUACAUGGCAUUUUUCAUCCAAAAAAGGACAACCGUUGAGGAUUGGUGUGCAUUGACUGACAACCAUCAAAUAGUGGAGGGGUAAAAAAAAAAAAGUAUUUCUUAAAGGUCAGUGUAAAUAAAUCGUUAUAAUUUAAGGGAAGAAAGUGUAUUAUACCCUUGUUGUCCAGUUCUAAUAUAUUUGCAACGGUUAUGGAGUUCUUUGUAACGGCGACGGCAAUCAC
Molecule: long non-coding RNA, 1299 nt
Filed under: Actinidia chinensis (golden kiwifruit)
Lineage: Eukaryota; Viridiplantae; Streptophyta; Magnoliopsida; Ericales; Actinidiaceae
Description: long non-coding RNA (ACHI_LNC009558)
Source: RNAcentral